This 194-nucleotide small nuclear RNA is filed under the name Medicago truncatula (barrel medic). RNAcentral's name for it is "sRNA gene23815". It matches the Rfam family "U2 spliceosomal RNA". Rfam says of the family: U2 is a small nuclear RNA (snRNA) component of the spliceosome (involved in pre-mRNA splicing). Complementary binding between U2 snRNA (in an area lying towards the 5' end but 3' to hairpin I) and the branchpoint sequence (BPS) of the intron results the bulging out of an unpaired adenosine, on the BPS, which initiates a nucleophilic attack at the intronic 5' splice site, thus starting the first of two transesterification reactions that mediate splicing. The record is from Rfam by way of RNAcentral. Lineage: Eukaryota; Viridiplantae; Streptophyta; Magnoliopsida; Fabales; Fabaceae.
AUACCUUUCUCGGCCUUUUGGCUAAGAUCAAGUGUAGUAUCUGUUCUUAUCAGUUUAAUAUCUGAUAUGUGGACCAAUGGUCCACACGAUAUUAAAUUACUUUUUAAAGGGAGAGAGUCUGCCUAGUAGCUUGCUGCUUGGGCUCUCAAGUGUCGCCUUUGCGUUGCACUAUUGCAUGGGCUGGCGCAUCCCAC